CUAAGCCAUGCGAGUCGAGAGGGUUCGGCCCUCGGCGGACUGCUCAGUAACACGUGGAUAAUUUGCCCUUAGGUGGAGGAUAAUCUCGGGAAACUGAGAAUAAUACUCCAUAGAUCUAGGAUGCUGGAAUGCACUUAGAUUGAAAGUUCCGGCGCCUAAGGAUAAGUCUGCGGACUAUCAGGUUGUAGUCAGGGUAAAGACCUGACUAGCCUACAACGGAUACGGGUUGUGAGAGCAAUAACCCGGAGACGAUAUCUGAGACACGAUAUCGGGCCCUACGGGGCGCAGCAGGCGCGAAACCUUCACACUGCGCGAAAGCGCGAUAAGGGGAUCCCAAGUGCCAGCUCGUAAGAGUUGGCUGUUUCUCUGUCUAAAAAGCAGAGAGAGUAAGGGCUGGGUAAGACGGGUGCCAGCCGCCGCGGUAA
RNAcentral lists this ribosomal RNA (425 nucleotides) under uncultured archaeon. Its description in RNAcentral is "bacterial SSU rRNA". It matches the Rfam family "Archaeal small subunit ribosomal RNA", at positions 44 to 473 of the family's 1478-position model. The record is from RNAcentral.